RNAcentral lists this ribosomal RNA (484 nucleotides) under uncultured bacterium. RNAcentral describes it as "partial 16S ribosomal RNA". It matches the Rfam family "Bacterial small subunit ribosomal RNA", at positions 30 to 507 of the family's 1533-position model. The record is from RNAcentral.
AUUGAACGCUGGCGGCAGGCCUAACACAUGCAAGUCGAGCGGAUGAAGGGAGCUUGCUCCUGGAUUCAGCGGCGGAUGGGUGAGUAAUGCCUAGGAAUCUGCCUGGUAGUGGGGGAUAACGUCCGGAAACGGGCGCUAAUACCGCAUACGUCCUGAGGGAGAAAGUGGGGGAUCUUCGGACCUCACGCUAUCAGAUGAGCCUAGGUCGGAUUAGCUAGUUGGUGGGGUAAAGGCCUACCAAGGCGACGAUCCGUAACUGGUCUGAGAGGAUGAUCAGUCACACUGGAACUGAGACACGGUCCAGACUCCUAUGGGAGGCAGCAGUGGGGAAUAUUGGACAAUGGGCGAAAGCCUGAUCCAGCCAUGCCGCGUGUGUGAAGAAGGUCUUCGGAUUGUAAAGCACUUUAAGUUGGGAGGAAGGGCAGUAAGUUAAUACCUUGCUGUUUUGACGUUACCAACAGAAUAAGCACCGGCUAACUUCGUG